GUGCUCACUUCGGCAGCACAUAUACUAAAAUUAGAACAAUACAGAGAUUAGCACGGCCUCUGCACAAGAAUGACACGCACAUUUGUGAAGCAUUCCACAUUUAA
This 104-nucleotide small nuclear RNA is filed under the name Dasypus novemcinctus (nine-banded armadillo). Lineage: Eukaryota; Metazoa; Chordata; Mammalia; Cingulata; Dasypodidae. The record is from RNAcentral.